This 3085-nucleotide long non-coding RNA is filed under the name Homarus americanus (American lobster). Its description in RNAcentral is "uncharacterized LOC121863365, transcript variant X1". The record is from RNAcentral. Lineage: Eukaryota; Metazoa; Arthropoda; Malacostraca; Decapoda; Nephropidae.
AUAACCACAAAAUUGGCACGAACGACUAAGCAGGGAGGUUACAUGCAGUGGCGGCCUGUGAGUUACCUUAGUUCAGACCGGGAUAUUAACUUGUCCACUGACCCAAACAUUGAUGGCAACUUUACUUCACUGACGGAAAUCUCUAUUGCCCUGGAAGAGUCUUUGGCCUAUGCAGUGUUUGGGGAUAAAUUGGAAUCAGCAAUGACUGCCCAGACAAAAGUUUCUUUUGGCCAGAAGAAGGACAAAUUUUAUGCUGCAAAUAACUACACCACAUGGACUGUUGGCUUUGGACAUGGAUCGCCACCAAAGGAAACUUUCUCCACGAUGGUGAUCCUUGUCAUAACCCUAGGUCUAAGCAUCCCAGCAUUGAUGUUUCUGAUUGGAUGUGUAGUGAUAGCCAGUCGCAAGUGCCGUAGGUCAACUGAUCAACUUAUUGUUAAUUAAUUUUUCAGAUUUUCCAAACUUUGUAUUUAUUAUUGAGUUACGGUAAGUAUAAUUUUAUGUAUUUUUGUAGAUUUGAAGUAUUUAUCCUGUAAAGUGCCUUGAAGUGGAGAGAAUUCACAGUAUGAUACUCAUAUAAGAUACUCUUGUUAUUCUAACAUUACAGUCGCAUGAGCUCUUUAUUUGCUUCUUGUAGAAAAAAAAUUAUUUGCUUGCAAGAAAAGGUUAUUAAAUUUUUUCAAGCUGAAAAUAAAGAACUCUAUAUUUAUUUUCAUGUGAAGAAAGCACUUCUUCCCUGCCUCCAGCCUUGUUCAUCCAUUUGAAGUGAUUUAAUGUCCAUUCACUAAAUUGAGAGAGGCUUUGUGGAUCAAAAGGAAUUUUGGGAUACGGCUUCAUGUCAAGAGUAUUUAAGCUUAGUUUGGUAAUCAACAUUUCCUAACUUUCUGUACUGGUUUAUAGAAGCCCUCGUUUUUUUUUAAUUCAGUGCUGUAUUAAGAAACAUUAGGCUAUUAAACUUCUAUUGCUGUUAAAACCACAAAAGUGUGACCACUUAAGCAUUCCUUUAGUUGAGUAAUUUUUUUAUUAAAAGACUAGCUUUAUGAAAUCAAGAAUAACUUAUUUUUAUAUUAAAUAAUAUUGAAUGUAUGGCUGCUAUCACUAACAUUACAUUGAUUUUUUUUUUUUACAAGAGAACAGAUUUUAUGCUUGAUAUCACUAUAAAUGUAAGAUAUCUUUGGUAGUCAGUUUACAUAAAAUUCCCAGUCUACAGUUGAAGGAAUGAAGGUGGUGGUUAAGUGUAGUGCCAGCCAUGGACCAAAAAAAGGCUUAGUCUACCGUGUGCUGGAUCUGCACUACCCAUAAUGAGGUGGCAGGUCUAUGGAACGCACUCUCAUAUUCACUUUGGUACUUGGGAUUCGACACUGAGUGAAUGCAGCUCCUGCCACAUGUCCUAAAGGUUACUGGUUUGCACCAGGGGCACUCCCAGUACACCCAGCUGUGAAUGAAUACACAACUUUAUAGUUAAGGAAGCAAGGGCAGUUGAGUGUAGUGUUGGCCACACAACCUCCUUUAGAACCAAAGGCUUGGUGUUCAGUGUAUUGUAUCCACACUGCCAUUACUGGAACAUCAAGAUAAUGGGAUCCACUUGAACUCUGACAUAUGACUAUCAUAUUGUAUUUUGUGAUAUACAUGUUUUUCAAACCAAAGUUUAUUAUUUAGGUUUGCACUGUAGAAGAUUCAUGUAGUUAUCUAUAAAGUGAUAUUUUACAAAUAUAUAUCCAGUAUGUAGUACUGUACUGUGUUACUUAGAGAUAUAUGAUUAUACUGUAUAGUGAAGUAGUAAUUUAUCAUGAUGUAAGUUGUGCUAUUUUGAGAGCCUGCUGAAAUGUAUAGACUUGUUCCAAUAAUUUUAAUUGUCAGUAAUCUACAAAUCUUCAAAUGUUGAAGGUUCUUCCUUGACAUUCACAACAAUUAUUGAACAAAGACUGGCUUCUGUAAGUAAACACUUGCAUCACAUUCCAGUGGUUGAAAUUUCCUUUUGGGAGGUGAGGCUUUAUACAAGUUCCUUUGCUCCAUGUGCAUGUCUGCUCAGCAAUGAUUAGUGCCAAGUAUUUUAGGGGUUACUGUAUUAGGUUCCUCAAUUCCAAGCAAAUUGUGCAGUUCAGGGUUAGCCAUUUUCACUGGUCCAAACUGCUUGCUAUCUGUUGCCAUGGGUUUUGUGAUGACAAGAAGCUUCAACACCUAAACAGAAAAAGUAAAGUGACAGGGACUGGAAGACAACAGUGUUUGAAGAGUGGUUCCAACUUGAAAACUAUACAGUACCCAUGUGGGAUGCAGGGUAUGUGGAGGAUUUGGGGAGAUGACAAAAUAGUUUAAGAGUGAAUGUGACCUGAAUAAAGAACCACCAAAGCUAGUUUGGCUCAGUGGCUGUUAAGUCUGUCAUCCACUUAAUUCUUUUGGAAAAAAAAAUUUCCUCAAGUAUACCUCUUGUAAGAGCCUCUGUUCUUGGUUUAUUCAUGUAAAUUCUCUCCUUAAGGUAUCCCCAGAGAAAUUAGUCUGGUGCUGACAUGUCAGGCAGUGGCAUAUUCUGAAGAGCUGCUCUGGUUUAUCACACCUUUCACUUUUGCCAGAAGUCCUCCCAAGUUUCCCAACAUAACAGCUGCACCAACAUAUGUCUGAGGGACUAGCUUUUCUUGCAAAAUAAAAUCCUCUACAAUAGGUACGACAUGCUUAUACAAUGCUUGAGAGUUGAGAAGAUCUGUCUGCAAUUACAUCCAUAAACCCCUUGAAUCUUUCUUGGAUUUCACCAGAUUAAUCCACAUAAUACAGUACAUAACUGCAGAGAGGUUAACAAAAAACUGCUCAGCCUCUUCCAUGUCAUUGUCAGAGGUUUGUGUCCAGUGUUAUGUAAGCUACUGAGCUUCCAUGUGAAUGCGACCUGGACAGGAUCCCAACAUUCAGAAGACUCACCCGUACUGGACAGGUCUAUCUACUAACUGGUAGGGGUGAAUCAUUGCUUUGUUAAUUUAAUUUAUUAAUUUAGGCUCUUUGUUCAUUACAUACGUAUACAGUGAGUUCUGCUAUAACGCGUGUUUUGAUAACGCGAAUUUGCUCUAACGCGAUUUAUGAAUUCGGAACAAUAUUU